CCUACGGGGGGCAGCAGUGGGGAAUAUUGGACAAUGGGCGAAAGCCUGAUCCAGCCAUGCCGCGUGUGUGAAGAAGGCCUUCGGGUUGUAAAGCACUUUCAGUGGGGAAGAAAGCCUUGGGGCUAAUACCCUCGAGGAAGGACAUCACCCACAGAAGAAGCACCGGCUAACUCCGUGCCAGCAGCCGCGGUAAUACGGAGGGUGCGAGCGUCAAUCGGAAUUACUGGGCGUAAAGCGCGCGUAGGCGGUCUGAUAAGCCGGUUGUGAAAGCCCCGGGCUCAACCUGGGAACGGCAUCCGGAACUGUCAGGCUAGAGUGCAGGAGAGGAAGGUAGAAUUCCCGGUGUAGCGGUGAAAUGCGUAGAGAUCGGGAGGAAUACCAGUGGCGAAGGCGGCCUUCUGGACUGACACUGACGCUGAGGUGCGAAAGCGUGGGUAGCAAACAGGAUUAGAUACCCUAGUAGUC
This 465-nucleotide ribosomal RNA is filed under the name Vreelandella stevensii. RNAcentral's name for it is "partial 16S ribosomal RNA". It matches the Rfam family "Bacterial small subunit ribosomal RNA", at positions 338 to 795 of the family's 1533-position model. Lineage: Bacteria; Pseudomonadati; Pseudomonadota; Gammaproteobacteria; Oceanospirillales; Halomonadaceae. The record is from RNAcentral.